RNAcentral lists this ribosomal RNA (473 nucleotides) under uncultured bacterium. RNAcentral's name for it is "bacterial SSU rRNA". It matches the Rfam family "Bacterial small subunit ribosomal RNA", at positions 30 to 517 of the family's 1533-position model. The record is from RNAcentral.
AUUGAACGCUGGCGGCAUGCCUUACACAUGCAAGUCGAACGGCAGCAUGGAGAGCUUGCUCUCUGAUGGCGAGUGGCGAACGGGUGAGUAAAGCAUCGGAACGUACCGUGUAAUGGGGGAUAACGUAGCGAAAGUUACGCUAAUACCGCAUACGACCUGAGGGUGAAAGCAGGGGAUCGCAAGACCUUGCGUUAUACGAGCGGCCGAUGUCAGAUUAGCUAGUUGGUGAGGUAAAGGCUCACCAAGGCGACGAUCUGUAGCGGGUCUGAGAGGAUGAUCCGCCACACUGGGACUGAGACACGGCCCAGACUCCUACGGGAGGCAGCAGUGGGGAAUCUUAGACAAUGGGGGAAACCCUGAUCUAGCCAUGCCGCGUGAGCGAUGAAGGCCUUAGGGUGUAAAGCUCUUUCAGCUGGGAAGAUAAUGACUGUACCAGCAGAAGAAGCCCCCGGCUAACUCCGUGCCAGCAGCCG